RNAcentral lists this ribosomal RNA (234 nucleotides) under uncultured bacterium. RNAcentral describes it as "partial 16S ribosomal RNA". It matches the Rfam family "Bacterial small subunit ribosomal RNA", at positions 15 to 240 of the family's 1533-position model. The record is from RNAcentral.
GAUCAUGGCUCAGGAUGAACGCUAGCUACAGGCUUAACACAUGCAAGUCGAGGGGCAGCAUGAACUUAGCUUGCUAAGUUUGAUGGCGACCGGCGCACGGGUGAGUAACACGUAUCCAACCUUCCAUUUACUCAGGGAUAGCCUUUCGAAAGAAAGAUUAAUACCUGAUAGUAUUGUGAGAUUGCAUAAUAGCACCAUUAAAGAUUUAUUGGUAAACGAUGGGGAUGCGUUCCA